Molecule: ribosomal RNA, 466 nt
Filed under: uncultured bacterium
Lineage: Bacteria
Description: partial 16S ribosomal RNA
Rfam family: Bacterial small subunit ribosomal RNA
Source: RNAcentral
GACGAACGCUGGCGGCGUGCUUAACACAUGCAAGUCGAACGGAAAGGCCCUGCUUUUUUGGGGUUCUCGAGUGGCGAACGGGUGCGUAACACGUGAGUAACCUGCCCUUGACUUUGGUAUAACUUCAGGUAACUGGGGCUAAUACCGGAUAGGAUCUCCUGCUGCAUGGUGGGGGUUGGAUAUUUUGGGCGGUUGGGGAUGGACUCGCGGCUUAUCAGCUUGUUGGUGGGGUAGUGGCUUACCAAGGCUUUGACGGGUAGCCGGCCUGAGAGGGUGACCGGCCACAUUGGGACUGAGAUACGGCAGAGACUCCUACGGGAGGCAGCAGUGGGGAAUAUUGCACAAUGGGCGGAAGGCUGAUGCAGCAACGCCGCGUGCGGGAUGACGGCCUUCGGGUUGUAAACCGCUUGCGCCUGUGACGAAGCGUGAGUGACGGUAAUGGGUAAAGAAGCACCGGCUAACUACG